The sequence is a small nuclear RNA, 114 nucleotides long. Its record names the gene U2. It matches the Rfam family "U2 spliceosomal RNA". Rfam says of the family: U2 is a small nuclear RNA (snRNA) component of the spliceosome (involved in pre-mRNA splicing). Complementary binding between U2 snRNA (in an area lying towards the 5' end but 3' to hairpin I) and the branchpoint sequence (BPS) of the intron results the bulging out of an unpaired adenosine, on the BPS, which initiates a nucleophilic attack at the intronic 5' splice site, thus starting the first of two transesterification reactions that mediate splicing. The record is from Ensembl.
AUUGCUUCUCGGCCUUUUGGCUAAGAUCAAGUGUAGUUUAAAUGUAUUAUUGGAUUCAGUUUGCUACUAUUUUGUUGAGUACUUUUGCAUUUAUGUUCAUCAGAGAUAUUGGCC